GGAAGGAUCAUUACAGAAUUGUCAACGGGUUGUUGCUGGUCCUCGAACGGGGACAUGUGCACGCUCUGUUUACACAUCCACUCACACCUGUGCACCCUCCGUAGUUCUGUGGUCUGGGGGACCCCUGUCCUCCUGCCGUGGUUCUAUGUCUUUACACACACACUGUAAUAAAGUAUUAUGGAAUGCAUGCCGCGUCUAACGCAAUACAAUACAACUUUCAGCAACGGAUCUCUUGGCUCUCGCAUCGAUGAAGAACGCAGCGAAAUGCGAUAAGUAAUGUGAAUUGCAGAAUUCAGUGAAUCAUCGAAUCUUUGAACGCACCUUGCGCCCCUUGGCUAUUCCGAGGGGCAUGCCUGUUUGAGUAUCAUGAACACCUCAACUCUCACGGUUCGCCGUGAUGAGCUUGGACUCUGGGGGUUUUGCUGGCCUGCGGUCGGCUCCCCUCAAAUGAAUCAGCCUCCCAGUGUUUGGUGGCAUCACGGGUGUGAUAAAUAUCUACGCUCGCAGUUGUCCGCCAGGUAACCUUUGGUGAUAAAGGUUCGCUGGAGCUCACAGAUGUCUCUCCUCAGCGAGGACAGCUUUUUGAACGUUCGAUCUCAAAUCAGGUAGGACUACCCGCUGAACUUAAGCAUAUCAAUAAGCGGAGGAAAAGAAACUAACAAGGAUUCCCCUAGUAACUGCGAGUGAAGCGGGAA
RNAcentral lists this small RNA (695 nucleotides) under uncultured fungus. RNAcentral describes it as "eukaryotic LSU rRNA". The stretch from base 213 to 367 matches the Rfam family "5.8S ribosomal RNA". The record is from RNAcentral. Lineage: Eukaryota; Fungi.